CCUACGGGAGACUGCAGUGGGGGAUAUUGCACAAUGGGGGGAACCCUGAUGCAGCGACGCCGCGUGAGCGAAGAAGUACCUCGGUAUGUAAAGCUCUAUCAGCAGGGAAGAAAAUGACGGUACCUGACUAAGAAGCCCCGGCUAAAUACGUGCCAGCAGCCGCGGUAAUACGUAUGGGGCAAGCGUUAUCCGGAUUUAUUGGGUUUAAAGGGUGCGCAGGCGGAAGAUCAAGUCAGCGGUAAAAUUGAGAGGCUCAACCUCUUCGAGCCGUUGAAACUGGUUUUCUUGAGUGAGUGAGAAGUAUGCGGAAUGCGUGGUGUAGCGGUGAAAUGCAUAGAUAUCACGCAGAACUCCGAUUGCGAAGGCAGCAUACCGGCGCUCAACUGACGCUCAUGCACGAAAGUGUGGGUAUCGAACAGGAUUAGAUACCCGUGUAGUC
This 439-nucleotide ribosomal RNA is filed under the name uncultured bacterium. RNAcentral's name for it is "partial 16S ribosomal RNA". It matches the Rfam family "Bacterial small subunit ribosomal RNA", at positions 338 to 795 of the family's 1533-position model. The record is from RNAcentral.